GGUCGCCUAGUCUAGCGGUUAUGAUUUCUCCUUUACAUGCUCAUCCCAAGAGAGAGGACAUUGGUCGGACGGAGAAGGUCGCAGGUUCGAUCCCUGCGGCGACCA
This 105-nucleotide transfer RNA is filed under the name Lasallia pustulata. RNAcentral describes it as "Umbilicaria pustulata tRNA-Val". It matches the Rfam family "tRNA". Rfam says of the family: Transfer RNA (tRNA) molecules are approximately 80 nucleotides in length. Their secondary structure includes four short double-helical elements and three loops (D, anti-codon, and T loops). Lineage: Eukaryota; Fungi; Ascomycota; Lecanoromycetes; Umbilicariales; Umbilicariaceae. The record is from RNAcentral.